RNAcentral lists this ribosomal RNA (292 nucleotides) under uncultured bacterium. RNAcentral's name for it is "partial 16S ribosomal RNA". The record is from RNAcentral.
GGACUACCCGGGUUUCUAAUCCUGUUUGCUCCCCACGCUUUCGUGCCUCAGUGUCAGUGCUGGUCCAGAGAGCCGCCUUCGCAACUGAUGUUCCUCCCGAUCUCUACGCAUUUCACUGCUACACCGGGAAUUCCACUCUCCUCUACCGCACUCUAGCGAGCCAGUAUCCAUCGCCAUUCCCAGGUUGAGCCCGGGGCUUUCACGACAGACUUAACUCACCACCUACGCACGCUUUACGCCCAGUAAUUCCGAGUAACGCUUGCACCCUUCGUAUUACCGCGGCUGCUGGCAC